RNAcentral lists this ribosomal RNA (497 nucleotides) under uncultured bacterium. RNAcentral describes it as "partial 16S ribosomal RNA". It matches the Rfam family "Bacterial small subunit ribosomal RNA", at positions 28 to 507 of the family's 1533-position model. The record is from RNAcentral.
GAUGAACGCUGGCGGCGUGCCUAAUACAUGCAAGUCGAGCGAACAGACGAGGAGCUUGCUCCUCUGACGUUAGCGGCGGACGGGUGAGUAACACGUGGAUAACCUACCUAUAAGACUGGGAUAACUUCGGGAAACCGGAUCUAAUACCGGAUAAUAUAUUGAACCGCAUGGUUCAAUAGUGAAAGACGGUUUUGCUGUCACUUAUAGAUGGAUCCGCGCCGCAUUAGCUAGUUGGUAAGGUAACGGCUUACCAAGGCGACGAUGCGUAGCCGACCUGAGAGGGUGAUCGGCCACACUGGAACUGAGACACGGUCCAGACUCCUACGGGAGGCAGCAGUAGGGAAUCUUACGCAAUGGGCGAAAGCAUGACGGAGCAACGCCGCGUGAGUGAUGAAGGUCUUCGGAUCGUAAAACUCUGUUAUUAGGGAAGAACAAAUGUGUAAGUAACUAUGCACGUAUUGACGGUACCUAAUCAGAAAGCCACGGCUAACUACGUG